UGAAUACAUAAUAAUUUUUAAAUUAUAAUUUAUAUAAUACUAAUGUCAUGGUCCAAGCCUCCUAGCAUGGCCUAUCCCAUGGAUGAUUUUAGACGGAUGUAGUGUGUAAAUAUUUUUCAUGUAUUUAUUUAUAGGUAGGCGGUGAUUGAACAUUAAACCACUCUCUUGUACUUUAUAUAUAGGAGGGGCCUCAUUUUGGCCAAGACACACAAGCAACACAACAAAUCCAGCACACAUAGUUUUGUAAGCAUUUCAUCGAGCAAUAAGAGCUUUUUCCUCCCAUCUUGAGCGAGUUUGAGUGAAUACACUUUUCGACUUUCGAAUCCAACACCGGAUUUGAGUGGGCAAGGUUGACUUAGGGCUAAGUGUGUAUGAAUUGACACCUAAGGUCUCACGGCACAACGUGGGAACAAGCAGGCCGUGACAGUUGGUAUCAGCUUCAAAUUUUAUCACAAAUUUUCAAUAAUAAUACAUAAUAUAAGAUGAGAAAUAAUUUAUAAAGUAGAGAUAUUUU
RNAcentral lists this long non-coding RNA (514 nucleotides) under Citrus x clementina. RNAcentral describes it as "Citrus clementina (C. clementina) long non-coding RNA (CCLE_LNC000400)". The record is from RNAcentral. Lineage: Eukaryota; Viridiplantae; Streptophyta; Magnoliopsida; Sapindales; Rutaceae.